UUGAUCCAUGCUGCACUUCAAGCUCUCCUUCCAUUGUUGAAAGACAGUUAAGGGCGGCUCAGCAAAGCUGGGACAAAGACCCGGUGUGGCUGGCAAGGGCUGCAGAGGUGGGGCAACCCGGCCUUCUUGAGCUGCAACCUCUGGAGUUAGGGACCCCACUCGCCUUCUCCCCACGGCACCAGCUUCAGGUCCCUGAAUAUGCACGAGCAGCCAUGGGAGGCACCGGCAAGUAAGGCAGUACCCUGGAUUCAGGAAUUUCCUCCUCACCAGAUGUCUCACACAUUCUCACCAGACACAGGGAACCAGACAGGGGCCACCUGAGGAGGAGAGGGCUGCCCCUUGUCGCCAUGCUCAGACAUGGGACACCCUUGGGUGGCUGGGAUGCUGAAAAGACUAUAACACUUGCCCCACACACAUCCCAACAAGAGGCCACGGAAGGCCAGGGAGUGCCCAGCAGGCAGCCUUUGAUGGAGGGCUGCAGCAGGAAGAAACAGGGAGACAGAGGAACUCGGGUGACAGGAAGACCUUUGCAGCUGGGAACAGAGAAGCAUAAUUCAUCCUCCUCUCUCAAGCCCUUCUGAGAAUGGAUCAGCUGUGUCCGCUCUGCUCCACUCUGAGCGGGCUCAGUUAACCGACCCGGAAUGAAGAAGCAGCGACUUUUCCUGUUGCCCGCAACCAUGCAUCCUGCACACGCCCUCAGUGACUCGGAAGCAACAGGGCAGGUCCCAGCCAGGCAUAGCUCCUGCCUGGGGUGGACCCCGACUUCCCCAAGUGCCAGUAAAGAGCUGGCUGAGAAACCCUGAUUUCUUAUCUGCACACUUCUGAGAGCUAUUGUGAAGACUGAAUGGGAACAUGCACAGUCCACAGAUGCCACCCCCUGAGGGCUAAGCAAGGCUUCCUCUCGUGCAGGAUGUAUACUGGUCACUGGGCCAAGAGUCGAAGGAUCAGCGUGGUCAGAACUUUCUUGAAGUUCAGUGAGGUAGACAGACAUGAAAAAAUCCUGCAGUUGUGUAAAAGCCAUUCUGGGCAUCAGAUUAGGAAAUGGUACAUUCCCCGGUGAGAUAGAGAACAAACCCUGUUACAGGCUACAGGGAGAGUAUGGAGCAUACAUUGUGCGGCCCAUGGCAAGGGAGGCAAGAUGGGUAAGUGACUCAGAGAUGGCCUUGCCAGCCCUGAAACUACCACAGUGUGGAGGUCAAGGCUAAAUAAAUGGGAAACAUACAGACUUCAAGUCCUUACAGACAAGACAAGGCAGAUCCCGCGCAAAGAGCAUGAACACUGUGCUAAAGACAAAUCACACACACAGACAGCAAGAGGAAACACACUAAGGAAUUCCAAACAGAAAACAAAGUAUAUAUAAAAUAUACAACUGAUGCAUAACUUCAAGAAUUUGUUCUUUUAUAUAAGAUAUAAAUCAAUAACUAACAUAAAACAGAAACCAAUAGCUAACUCUUUUAAUAAAGACAAAACCCAGAUAUGCAAAGCUGAUAAUAAAGGAGAGAUCAUAAUCAUAAUAAAAAUCAUAAAAGAAAGGAUAACAAUGUGCUAACAGUUUUUAAAUCUCUACGAAGUAGAUGAUUGUUAAGGGAUGUAAAAGUUGGUUAAUUGACUUAAACAAUAAACAUCUUAGCAAACUAAAAAUGUUAAACACUGAAAACAGUGUGAGAGUAUUACUUCUGAAAUAAAUAUCAAUAGAUGGUG
This is a long non-coding RNA of Cavia porcellus (domestic guinea pig), 1701 nucleotides long. RefSeq lists it as uncharacterized. The transcript is spliced from 3 exons. NCBI's taxonomy places the organism in Eukaryota, Metazoa, Chordata, Mammalia, Rodentia, Caviidae. The record is from RefSeq and is a predicted model, not a curated record.